UGGGCAAUCUGCCCUUCACUCUGGGACAAGCCCUGGAAACGGGGUCUAAUACCGGAUAACACUCUGUCCCGCAUGGGACGGGGUUAAAAGCUCCGGCGGUGAAGGAUGAGCCCGCGGCCUAUCAGCUUGUUGGUGGGGUAACGGUCCAUCAAGGCGACGACGGGUAGCCGGCCUGAGAGGGCGACCGGCCACACUGGGACUGAGAUACGGCCCAGACUCCUACGGGAGGCAG
RNAcentral lists this ribosomal RNA (232 nucleotides) under uncultured bacterium. RNAcentral describes it as "partial 16S ribosomal RNA". It matches the Rfam family "Bacterial small subunit ribosomal RNA", at positions 118 to 351 of the family's 1533-position model. The record is from RNAcentral.